This 406-nucleotide ribosomal RNA is filed under the name uncultured bacterium. RNAcentral's name for it is "partial 16S ribosomal RNA". It matches the Rfam family "Bacterial small subunit ribosomal RNA", at positions 28 to 526 of the family's 1533-position model. The record is from RNAcentral.
GAUGAACGCUGUCAGAAUGCUUAACACAUCAGCAAUUGAUUGGUGGCUGACGGGUGAGUAACGCGUAGAGAACUUGCCUCACAGGUAGUGACAACAUUUGGAAACGAAUGCUAAUACCUAAUACUGUGAGAGAGCUUUGCGUCCAAUUGGCUCGUUGGAGGGGUAACGGCUCACCAAGGCGAUGAUGGGUAGCCGGCCUGAGAGGGUGAUCGGCCACAAGGGGACUGAGACACCGCCCGUACUACAACGGGAGGCAGGAGUGGGGAAUAUUGGACAAUGGACCAAAGUCGGAUCCAGCAAUUCUGUGGGGACGAUGAAGUUUUAGGAAUGUAAAGUGCUUUCAGUUGGGAAGCGGUACCAACAGAAGAAGUGACGGCGAAAUACGUGCCAGCAGCCGCGGUAAUUC